RNAcentral lists this ribosomal RNA (475 nucleotides) under uncultured organism. RNAcentral's name for it is "partial 16S ribosomal RNA". It matches the Rfam family "Bacterial small subunit ribosomal RNA", at positions 334 to 800 of the family's 1533-position model. The record is from RNAcentral.
CACUCCUGCGGGAGGCAGCAGUGGGGAAUUUUGGACAAUGGGGGCAACCCUGAUCCAGCAAUGCCGCGUGAGUGAAGAAGGCCUUCGGGUUGUAAAGCUCUUUUGUCAGGGAAGAAACGGUGGUGGCGAAUAACUACUACUAAUGACGGUACCUGAAGAAUAAGCACCGGCUAACUACGUGCCAGCAGCCGCGGUAAUACGUAGGGUGCAAGCGUUAAUCGGAAUUACUGGGCGUAAAGCGUGCGCAGGCGGUUGUGUAAGUCAGAUGUGAAAUCCCCGGGCUCAACCUGGGAAUUGCAUUUGAGACUGCACGGCUAGAGUGUGUCAGAGGGGGGUAGAAUUCCACGUGUAGCAGUGAAAUGCGUAGAUAUGUGGAGGAAUACCGAUGGCGAAGGCAGCCCCCUGGGAUAACACUGACGCUCAUGCACGAAAGCGUGGGGAGCAAACAGGAUUAGAAACCCUAGUAGUCCCAUGA